ACCUAGCUGGCCCUGUCGGUAGAGUGUGUGACUCUUGAUCUUGGGGUUAUAAGUUCAAGUCCUAUGUUGGGUA
Molecule: transfer RNA, 73 nt
Filed under: Felis catus (domestic cat)
Lineage: Eukaryota; Metazoa; Chordata; Mammalia; Carnivora; Felidae
Rfam family: tRNA
About the family: Transfer RNA (tRNA) molecules are approximately 80 nucleotides in length. Their secondary structure includes four short double-helical elements and three loops (D, anti-codon, and T loops).
Source: Rfam by way of RNAcentral